RNAcentral lists this non-coding RNA (152 nucleotides) under Acetobacterium woodii. RNAcentral describes it as "GlcN6P sequence". It matches the Rfam family "glmS glucosamine-6-phosphate activated ribozyme aptamer". Rfam says of the family: This entry contains a glucosamine-6-phosphate activated ribozyme that is found in the mRNA for GlmS. The record is from RNAcentral. RNAcentral also lists the same sequence under 1 other name. Lineage: Bacteria; Bacillati; Bacillota; Clostridia; Eubacteriales; Eubacteriaceae.
AACAUCAAAGAAGCGCCAGAACUCAAGUGAUUGUCCACACUGAGAUUGAGUUGACGAGGACAGGGAGUAUCGAAAAUUCGGCGGAUGCCCUGAAGAAUUGCGGCAAAAAACUGAAAAGUGAUUUUCAGGACAAAGGCGGCAUAAAGUUAUAG